GAUGAACGCUGGCGGCGUGCCUAAUACAUGCAAGUCGAGCGAACAGACGAGGAGCUUGCUCCUCUGACGUUAGCGGCGGACGGGUGAGUAACACGUGGAUAACCUACCUAUAAGACUGGGAUAACUUCGGGAAACCGGAGCUAAUACCGGAUAAUAUAUUGAACCGCAUGGUUCAAUAGUGAAAGACGGUUUUGCUGUCACUUAUAGAUGGAUCCGCGCCGCAUUAGCUAGUUGGUAAGGUAACGGCUUACCAAGGCGACGAUGCGUAGCCGACCUGAGAGGGUGGUCGCCCACACUGGAACUGAGACACGGUCCAGACUCCUACGGGGGGCAGCAGUAGGGAAUCUUCCGCAAUGGGCGAAAGCCUGACGGAGCAACGCCGCGUGAGUGAUGAAGGUCUUCGGAUCGUAAAACUCUGUUAUUAGGGAGGAACAAAUGUGUAAGUAACUAUGCACGUCUUGACGGUACCUAAUCAGAAAGCCACGGCUAACUACGUG
Molecule: ribosomal RNA, 497 nt
Filed under: uncultured bacterium
Lineage: Bacteria
Description: partial 16S ribosomal RNA
Rfam family: Bacterial small subunit ribosomal RNA
Source: RNAcentral